UACGGAGGGUGCAAGCGUUAAUCGGAAUUAUUGGGCGUAAAGAGCUCGCAGGCGGCGUGUCGCGUCUGCUGUGAAAGUCCGGGGCUUAACUCCGGUUUGGCAGUGGAGACGGGCAUGCUUGAGGCAGGUAGGGGAGACUGGAAUUCCUGGUGUAGCGGUGAAAUGCGCAGAUAUCAGGAGGAACACCGGUGGCGAAGGCGGGUCUCUGGGCCUGACCUGACGCUGAGGAGCUAAAGCGUGGGUAGCGAACAGG
Molecule: unclassified non-coding RNA, 253 nt
Filed under: uncultured Nocardiopsaceae bacterium
Lineage: Bacteria; Bacillati; Actinomycetota; Actinomycetes; Streptosporangiales; Nocardiopsidaceae
Description: contains 16S-23S intergenic spacer region
Rfam family: Bacterial small subunit ribosomal RNA
Source: RNAcentral